GUCCAGACUCCUACGGGAGGCAGCAGUGAGGAAUAUUGGUCAAUGGGCGGGAGCCUGAACCAGCCAAGCCGCGUGAAGGAAGAAGGCGCCAGGCGUCGUAAACUUCUUUUGUCGGGGAACAAAGGGCGCCACGCGUGGCGUUGUGAGUGUACCCGAAGAAAAAGCAUCGGCUAACUCCGUGCCAGCAGCCGCGGUAAUACGGAGGAUGCGAGCGUUAUCCGGAUUUAUUGGGUUUAAAGGGUGCGUAGGCGGCCCGAAAGGUAAGGGUAAAAAGCCGGGGCCCCACCCCCGGCGAGCCGUUGAAACUGUCGGACUAGAGACGGCGAGAAGUACGCGGAAUGCGCGGUGUAGCGGUGAAAUGCAUAGAUAUCGCGCAGAACUCCGAUUGCGAAGGCAGCGUACCGGCGCCGGACUGACGCUGAGGCACGAAAGCGUGGGUAUCGAACAGGAUUAGAUACCCUAGUA
This 465-nucleotide ribosomal RNA is filed under the name uncultured bacterium. Its description in RNAcentral is "bacterial SSU rRNA". It matches the Rfam family "Bacterial small subunit ribosomal RNA", at positions 329 to 792 of the family's 1533-position model. The record is from RNAcentral.